ACUGUGAAUAGGCUGCUUCUCAAUAUUAAGCAAAAAGACAUUGGUUCCUUAAUUACAAGCUCCCCUGAGGAUCGACACACUGUUAUUGGCGUGGAUGAAAUGCGAAGAAGAUGAUGUUUGGUCUGAAGACCUUCCUACAUGGCGGUUCUUUCAGUGGGAUGGCUUCUGUUUCUAUUGGUUUCAUCCAGGGCUAUGACGCAACCAAUCAGUGCUUUACAUGCUUAGAAGGCAACCAAAAGAAGGCUUUUGCACUGGGUAUGAGAGGUUGCAGUGUUGCAGUUAAUGUUCAAAUUGGACAUAGGUGCUAAGUUCAUGGAAUUCCAGUAAGUUCUUCAUCUCUAAUCCUAUUACUCCAUUUUGUCAUGGUUCUGGUUGUUUCAGGUAUUUCGUUUCAUGCAUAUUUAUAAGGAG
Molecule: long non-coding RNA, 411 nt
Organism: Telopea speciosissima
Lineage: Eukaryota; Viridiplantae; Streptophyta; Magnoliopsida; Proteales; Proteaceae
Exons: 5
Source: RefSeq, a predicted model, not a curated record